This 492-nucleotide ribosomal RNA is filed under the name uncultured bacterium. RNAcentral describes it as "partial 16S ribosomal RNA". It matches the Rfam family "Bacterial small subunit ribosomal RNA", at positions 29 to 507 of the family's 1533-position model. The record is from RNAcentral.
AGUAAACGCUGGCGGUAGGCCUAACACAUGCAAGUCGAACGGCAGCACAGUAAGAGCUUGCUCUUACGGGUGGCGAGUGGCGGACGGGUGAGGAAUACAUCGGAAUCUACUUUUUCGUGGGGGAUAACGUAGGGAAACUUACGCUAAUACCGCAUACGACCUACGGGUGAAAGCAGGGGAUCUUCGGACCUUGCGCGAUUGAAUGAGCCGAUGUCGGAUUAGCUAGUUGGCGGGGUAAAGGCCCACCAAGGCGACGAUCCGUAGCUGGUCUGAGAGGAUGAUCAGCCACACUGGAACUGAGACACGGUCCAGACUCCUACGGGAGGCAGCAGUGGGGAAUAUUGGACAAAGGGCGCAAGCCUGAUCCAGCCAUACCGCGUGGGUGAAGAAGGCCUUCGGGUUGUAAAGCCCUUUUGUUGGGAAAGAAAAGCAGCAGGUUAAUACCCCGCUGUUCUGACGGUACCCAAAGAAUAAGCACCGGCUAACUUCGUG